RNAcentral lists this ribosomal RNA (253 nucleotides) under uncultured bacterium. Its description in RNAcentral is "partial 16S ribosomal RNA". It matches the Rfam family "Bacterial small subunit ribosomal RNA", at positions 524 to 776 of the family's 1533-position model. The record is from RNAcentral.
UACGGAGGGUGCAAGCGUUGCUCGGAAUUAUUGGGCGUAAAGGGUAGGUAGGCGGUCUCUUUUGUCUGGGGUGAAAGCCUUGAGCUUAACUCAAGAAGUGCCCCAGAAACGGUGAGACUAGAGUCCUGGAGAGGGUCGUGGAAUUCCCGGUGUAGCGGUGAAAUGCGUAGAGAUCGGGAGGAACACCAGAGGCGAAGGCGGCGACCUGGACAGGAACUGACACUCAACUACGAAAGCGUGGGGAGCAAACAGG